UACGGGGGGGCAAGCGUUGUUCGGAAUUACUGGGCGUAAAGGGCUCGUAGGCGGCCAACUAAGUCGGACGUGAAAUCCCCAGGCUCAACCUGGGAACUGCGUCCGAUACUGGUUGGCUUGAAUUCGGGAGAGGGAUGCAGAAUUCCAGGUGUAGCGGUGAAAUGCGUAGAUAUCUGGAGGAAUACCGGUGGCGAAGGCGGCAUCCUGGACCGAGAUUGACACUGAUGAGCGAAAGCCAGGGGAGCAAACGGG
Molecule: ribosomal RNA, 252 nt
Filed under: uncultured bacterium
Lineage: Bacteria
Description: partial 16S ribosomal RNA
Rfam family: Bacterial small subunit ribosomal RNA
Source: RNAcentral